CAUCCGAUCGAGACUCCUGAGGAUGGAAGAAAACACAGACAAAAAUCGGGGGAAAAUUAAAGAAAGACCAAAAAAGCUAAAAGGUAAGACCUUCCCCCCUUCAUUAUUUUUCCUUUUCACUUCUUUUUCUUUUCAUUUCGUUCACUGUUUCGGAGAUGCAUCUGAGAGAGAUCGGAGGGGUAAACGUUCCGGUUGGGUUUUUGUCUCAAGGAGUUGUGGCGGUGUGAGUUGGCCCCUUGAGGUUUUGAGAGCUUAAUCUUGGUGGAAGCAUGAUAUUUUGUAGGGUUUGUGGAUGGAGCAGCGGGCGAUGAUGGAGAUGGGGGACGAAAUGAGAGACCGAGUAGACGAGAGAUUUCGGGUAUGCCCACACGUCCCGCCCUUGGAGCCCGAUACGUGUAUGGCUUUUUUUUCUGAUGGGGCAGGUAUGGAUAUCGAUCGACCCGAUCAAUAUCCGACCCCUGGCUCCAAGCCUCCCAUGCGAUCGAGACUCCUGAUCCCAUAUUCGGCCGAUGGAAAACUAGGAGGAAAAUCAGGGAAAAAACCUUCUUAUUCGGAAUUUGCCGCUCCAAGCCUUCCACCGAACCUUCAUAUUCCGCCGCUCCAAGCCUCCCGCCCGAUUAAGACUCUUGAGGAUGGAAAAAAAACAGAGGAAAAAUCAGGGGAAAUCCUAGGCAAAAUCCACACAAACUAAGGAAAGACGGAAUAAUUUAAAAGCUAAGAUUUUUUUCCCCUCGUUUUUUACCUUUUCGCUUAUCUUCUCUUUAUUUCAUUCUCUUUUUUCGAGAGUUGUGGGAGAUUUUUCUAUUUUUGCUUUCUUUUCUUUUCGUUUCAUUCCUUUUUGAGAGAUUUAUGGGGAAAGAGAGCAGUGGGAGCCGGUCUCUUAGGUUUUGAGAGCUUGAUCUGCCAUGAUUUUUGUAGGGUUUGAGGAUUUUGUUAAGAUCGGAUCCAAUCUGGCCGGACAAAGUAGGUAUGCCUGACCCGACCUAAUUUGUGUCUUUUAUUUUAUCUGACCCGAUCAAACUUGAGACGGGUAUGGGGUGGAUAAGGAUAUAGGUUUUUGUAUUGUGGGGCGCGCAUGGAUGCCGGUGGAGUCAACCUAAACCCGACCUGUUGCCACCCUUACCAGUUCUAGUCUUCUAGAUCCAAUGCAAGAUUUGUACCAUAACCAAAUAAAUAGUUAGAAGUAGAGCCCAAGAUCAACAAAGUGAAGGUAUAUAGGAGCCAAAUGCUACUCGUGCAAUGUAUGAGAAUUAGCCUCAGGAUAACUGAAAAUGAAGAUUAGUUGUUGUCAUCCAAUGUAAAGCAGUAGUAUUUUGAGGUCCAAAUUAAUCAGUAGUUUGCAGCACUACUAAGGAAAGCUGAUGCAAAUUGCCCAACGCAUACCCUACUUUGCAUAACAAUCUGAAGGAGCAGCUCAAAUUAUAAAGAUAAAUGAUAGAGCAAUAAAGACUCUGAUGUUUGGCUUUGAAUAAACCAUAAAAGAAGAUUGUAGUAUUAAUAGAGAUAACAGAGAAUAGAGUUUUAACAGGCCGACAUAGAGUACCAACAGUGGGAGCCAUAUUGUGCAGCAAGUAGCAUAGUAUAAAAAAAUGCAGAGGGUAGUGUGCCAUAAGACUUUGAAACCAUCCAAUUAGUGAGCUGCACCAAAGAACAUGAUAAUGUAGAAAAAACACUAUAUUAGCUAGAUUUCAUUUAUGACUUCGUCAAUGUGUAUAAGAUCAUGCUGCAAUAUCGUAGCAAAUUGAGGAGGCAACGUACCCCCCAAGGAGAAAGAAUAGUUGCCUAAAAGAGCUUGUUUAGAAAGCCAAUCAACAGCUUGGUUCUGCUCACGAUAAAUGUAAGAAAUAGUGCCAGUAGGAAAUUGAUUUAUAAUAUUUAAUAUAUCCCAAAAAAUGGGAAGAUAAUCCAUCUUACAAGAGGAUUUAUGUCUAAGCCAUUGAAUUACUAUAAGAGAGUCAUCUUGAACAUAUAAAUCAUUAUUCCCAAAUUUCUGAAUAAUAGUUUUGAGCCCAUACCAAGCUGCCAAGACCUCUGCAUAAGGUACCGAGCAGGGAGAAAGGCUAAUACCUUUAGCCAAAACAAGAGUUUUACAAGCAUCAUGGAUAAUAAAGGCAAUCCCAGUAGCUUGAGAUUGAAUUGCAGCAUCAAAGUUUAGCAUUAACCACCCAAAUGAUGGAGGCAGCCAGAUUAAAAAAAUUAGGAGAGGAAAUGUGCCAUGGCACAUGAGAGCUGCCCCAAGGCUUUGACUAGGGGUUAGAUAAAAAAGCUUCAUUGGUACCUUGCAUAUAGGAAGACAAUUGUCUAAGCAAAUGCAAAUGGGAAGCAAAUUAAUGCUGAAAAAUUCUACCAUUGCGACUAUUUCAGAUUAACCAUGCCAUAUUACUCAUGAUUGCUUUCAAUCUGUUCUCUAUCCGAGUACUAGCUAAUAAAUCAACCAGUGCUGGCAAAGGAGGAGGAAGGGAAUUAAGCUUAGAAAUCAUGACUAGGGAGGUCCAAUAUUGCUUAGCAAAUGGACAAGUCACUAUAGCAUGUUCCAAGUCUUCAAUAGUAUCAGCACAGAGGUCACAAUGAGUAGAAGUGUUGGGAAUUAUGCCUCUUUGAUGCAAGGAUAAUUUGCAAGGCAAACAAUUCCACACAAGCUUCUAUAGGAAACAUUUGACCCUCAAAGACAGAUGAAGAGUCCAAAUCCAAUUGCACUGAGGUGUAUGAGACUCCAUAUCCAAAGCAGGAAGGACAUAUGCAAUGUUGGAUCUUGGGACAUUAGGAGCAUAUGAAUUAAACCAACAAAGUCUAUCGGGCCACUAAUUCAAAGGAACAGGAAUCUUAAUGAUAGCAUGAAUUAAAUCAUCAUUAAAACAUGAAUUAAGAGCUUGUAAAUUCCAUUGCCUAUUAGCAGUAAUAAAAUCAGCAGUAAUAAAAUCAGCAACAUUAAAAGAAGUCAGGUCAAUAUUUGAAUUGAUAAAGGUAGGCAUCAUGGAUAGAGGCACAUUAAAAAUCCAAGGAUCAGAAUAGACAUUGGCAGAAGUGCUAGAACCAAUCAUCCAAAUUAAAAAAUUUUGCAACUGGAUAUCAAAGGCACUUAUUUUGUUCCAAAUAAUAGAUACCUAUUCUAAGGGCCUGUAAAUUUAUAUUUUGCUUGAACCAGCUGAGCCCACAAGGUGGAGGGGCGCAAAAUAAGAUUUAUAGCUACUUUAUCUAUUAAAGCCAAUUGCCUAUUUCUCAAGGUCUGCAAUCCAAGGCCAUCACAAUCUUUGGCGUACAGAUUUUGGACCAAGCUAGCAUAUGAAGACCUUUUUGAGUUGAAGGAUGACUCCAUAAGAAGGCUCGGAACUUUUUCUCUAUACAGUUAAGAAUUGAAACAGGCAAGUGGAUAGAAUACAUGGUAUAAAGAGGAACUGAAGUAAGAAUUGAUUGCACAAGGGUUGCUCUUCCAGCAAAUGAGAGAUUCAUUCACUCCCACCCUUUUAUUUUAUUAUCCAGCUUUGCCAUAAGAUGAUUAGUUAGAUGGAGCUAAACAAGUAGCAGAUAAAAGAGUAACCAAUAAUCUCAGACACCUCGUUUAAUUGGAAUUUGUAGAAUAUGCAGAAUCUGCUACUUAGCAGAAGAGGCAAUAUUAGGACCAAAGAUGAUAUGGGACUUGGAAUAGUUAAUAGCUUAUCCAAUAGUAUCACAAUAAGCUUCAGGAAUAGAUUUCAACAUUAAAGCAUCACGAAUAGUAACACGAGCAGCCAAAAGACAAUCAUCAGCAUAAAGGAUAUGGGAGAUAACUAGGCCCUGUGGAUUAGUUUGGUAAGCUCAGAGAAGUUUCGGUUGAAUAGCAACAUGAAGGUAAGUAGUAAGUAAUUCAGAACCAAGAAUAAAUAUGGGGAUAAAGGGCAUCCUUGACGUAAUCUACAAGAAAUUGGAAACCAAUCCGAGAGAGAUCCAUUUAUAAGCAAAGCAAAGUGAGGGUGAGAAAUACAAGGAUGAAAUCAGUAAAUGAACUUAUCAUUAAAAUUAAAAGCAUGGAGAAGCUGAGAUAGAUAACUCCACUGAAAUCUAUCAAAAGCUUUUUGCAUGUCAAUUUUCCAAAGCACGAGGCUACGAGAUGGAGGGGCUUUCUGAAGAGAAUGCAUUAACUCCUGAGCGACCAAGAUAUUUUCGACGAUGUUCCUUCUUGAUAUAAAGGCAGCUUGGAAGGAGGAUAUCAAAUUAGGCAAAAUCUUUGACAUUCGAUUGGCCAGAAUUUUUGUAGCAAUUUUGUAGAUGGUGUUAGUAAGACUUAUAGGUCGGGAAUGAUGAGCUAAUGAUGGGUUGGAAACUUUCGGAACAAGUGCUAUAUAUGUUUGCUUCCAUGAGGUUGGCAUUGUAGAAGUUUCAAAGAAGAAUUUGAUUGCAGCAAUGACAUCCAAUUUGAUUGUCCCAAAAAGCUUGAAAGAAAAAGGGUUGGAAACCAUCUGGAACCGAUGAUUUAUUCAGAUGAAAAGAAAAAACAGCUGCCUCAAUUUCUGAUUGAGUAAUAUCAGUGAUUAGAUCCUCACUAGUGGCACUAGAUAAAGUAUGAGGCAGCUGAGGAAUAUAAGCACAAUGAGGCUGCCAAUUAAGAUCCCAUCUAGAUUUAAAAUGUUGGACAAGAAGAUCACGAAUACCUUGUUCAGAAUUAACAAUAGUUUCAAAAUCAGAUUGUAACUGGGAAAUCCGGUUACAGUUGCACCUUAACAAAGUAGAUCUAUGGAAGAAUCAAGUGUUUGUGUCACCCUCUUUAAGCCACAAAAUACAGAACUUGUAGAAGUAAUUGAAAGUAGAAGAAGGCAAUGAUCCGAAGCAAAUCUUGUCAAGUGAGCAAUUUGAGAUUUUGGACGGAUAUCAAACCAACCCUUCGAGGCAAAUACCGGAUCUAGUCUUUCCCACACUCUGGCCAAACCAAGUCUAUUAUUGCACCAAGUGUAUUUAGGGUCAUAAAAGCCAAGAUGCAUCAACCUAGUAUUCCAAAUAAUGGUCUUGAACUCUCUAACAUCUCUGUUAACUUUAAAAGGCUUACCUCGCUGUUUGUCAUCUGCAGAUAAGAUAACAUUAAAAUCAUCAAUCAAGAGUAAAGGGACUUAACUUUGAAGGACUUAGAGACAAGAUCCCAAACAAUACGUGUUUGGAGUCCACAAGUGCUAGCAUAAACAAUUGCAAGAAACCAAGUUUGGCCUUGAUCAGGAGGGAGAAGGCCAAAGCAAACCUGAUGAUCUAUAUGAAGGAAAGUGACCUGGCCCAAGGAUUUUUCCAAGCAACAAUAAUACCACCAGAAAGUCCAGUAGAUGGCACCAUAUAAAGAUGCCAAGAAGGACCCAUAAUGCGCUUAAAACGGGGUAAGGAUUGCAAAGAGAGUCUAGACUCGACAAAAGCAUAUAACAUAGGAUUAUGUUGUCUUAUUAGUGACUUAACAUUAGCAAAAAGGGGCUUAGAAGCACCCCUCUAAUUCCAAAAUAGCAGAUUCAUAUUUGAGGGUCAGUAGAAAGAGAAGGAUCCACUUCCUUCACCUUCCUAUUUGUGAUACCUAAACUUGUGAAGUAAGAGCCUUCGUAGGGGGAGGAACAGAAACAGAAUCAACGGCCCUACAAGAGGUAGAAGGCUCGACUCCAUCCAACAGAAGAGACAGUUGCUGACAUAGAUUAUGCAAGUGCAUUUGAUGAGAAGUAGAUGAUGUACCUUAUCUUUGCUGUGAGGGGAUAGAAGAAGAUGCUACAGCUGACCCCUUGUUGUGGGAUGAGAUAGAUGUUGAAUCCACUGGAGUUGAAGCAGAGCUCAUAGAACCUGUUGAGACCACCCUCCAAACUUCUUGGAAUUGGAACCCUAUGACUUUGUAACAAGAAGAGAAGAGUCAGUCGGAUGCUCAAGCAAUGAAGGAUCAGAGUCUUCAAUAACAACCACUUCAUGUUGCGGCAAUUCAGAAUUAGGAGAUUUAAUUGAGCCUUAAUUUAAUGUGGGAGAACACUUUUCUUUCUCUUUCUGUAAAGGACCGAGACAUCCAUUGGCUGACUCAGAUGAUCAUUUUGGUUCUCAACCAUCACAAGAGGGCCAAAUCUAGAACCCGAAGUUGGGACAGAUGAGUGAUGGGCAGAAGGUGGAGGGGACCUCUAUUAGGAAACCUUUUUAGGUUGAGUCCAUUGAGAGUUGUGAGAAGGAUUUUUAGAUGGUGGGGAAGCUGAUCUACGACUCCCAAGAUGUUAAGACGAGGCAGAGGGAAUAGGCACUCUAAUUGUCCUAAUCCAAAGGCCCCAUAGGGGUUUAACUUCAGAUGAACCUCCAGUAUUUGAACAACCAUACUCCUCCGUGGCUAUGUCUAAUCUUCCACAACAGUAACAUAUAUCAGAAAGAUCUUCAUAGAUGAAUUCUUGUCAAAUAAGGGUAUCCUUCACCGCAAUUUUAGUACCAAAGCAAAUUGGCUUAGAGAGAUCAACCUGCACGGUUACCCUGACAAAUCCCAUUCUAGUACUAUCUUCAUGAUUGUAUCUUUAUCCCAAAAUUCUAAUGGAAGAUCAGGAAGGAGAAUCCAAAUGGAAGCAUACCUUAAUUGGUCUCGGCUUGGUUGGAAGGAUGGUCUCCAAGCUUCCAUCGCUAGAAGCUGGCUAGCUAAGGACCAAGGUCCUUUGGCCAGAACCCUAUCUUGGAUCUCAACAGGAGGCAGGGAGAACAGCAAAAGAUCUUCUGAUAAUGACAUAACCUGGAGAUCCCCUUCAAUGUUCCAUCGGAAUUUCAUCUCCUUUUGGAUAAACUCUAGUGGGAACCUUUUAUCAAGAAAUUUCCCGAUGAUAGCUGAUUUCCACUGAGAUGAAGUGCGUUGGAGCUCACCAGCGGAGAAUGAGAUAACUUGAGAAAAUCUUGCCUCCAACGCUUCAAUAUCUUCUUUUGUAGCCUGCAUUUAAACCUCCUAAUGCCCUGUACAACGUGGGAUCAGGUUCUGGCUGCAGUAGAUGACCUCAGACCAUGAUGCUCAGCAGCUUGCCUAGGAGGAGAGGAAGAACUCCCUCCAGAUGGCUGAUUUGCAGUUUUCGAAGCAGCCAAGGUCGGGUUUUGAUGAUCCGAAGCAGGAGCAGAAGGUUGGGACCCUUUGCUCUUAUGAUUCAUUAUCGAUGAAGGAGCUUCUAUACAAUCACCUUUCAAAUUAGUCGGAUCUAGGUCCAUCCGGGCCUCCUCUGACAAGCUUCGACCCUCUUUAGAGGGAAAUUGAGAAAUCCUACUCAACUUUCCUUUUUCAGUCGCUAGAGCUACAGUAACUUUUUCGCUCGAGCACCGCUCAAUUUGCUUCACCUUUCGAGGCUCGAUUGCUGCUUGUUUUGUUGUUUAGCAGCACUGGUUGCAAGGCAUGUAAGAUGAACUAUUUCUAUUUAUGAAGUUGUUAGGCUUUGUUCUACCCA
This 7385-nucleotide long non-coding RNA is filed under the name Elaeis guineensis (African oil palm). RNAcentral's name for it is "long non-coding RNA (EGUI_LNC036789)". The record is from RNAcentral. Lineage: Eukaryota; Viridiplantae; Streptophyta; Magnoliopsida; Arecales; Arecaceae.